AACGAACGCUGGCGGCAUGCCUAACACAUGCAAGUCGAACGAGACCUUCGGGUCUAGUGGCGCCCGGGUGCGUAACGCGUGGGAACCUGCCCUUAGGUUCGGCAUAACUCCCCGAAAGGGGUGCUAAUACCGGAUAAUGUCUUCGGACCAAAGAUUUAUCGCCUUUGGAUGGGCCCGCGUUGGAUUAGCUAGUUGGUAGGGUAAAAGCCUACCAAGGCGACGAUCCAUAGCUGGUCUGAGAGGAUGAUCAGCCACACUGAGACUGAGACACGGCCCAGACUCCUACGGGAGGCAGCAGUGGGGAAUAUUGGACAAUGGGCGAAAGCCUGAUCCAGCAAUGCCGCGUGAGUGAUGAAGGCCUGAGGGAUGUAAAGCUCUUUUACCCGGGAUGAUAAUGACAGUACCGGGAGAAUAAGCUCCGGCUAACUCCGUG
This 433-nucleotide ribosomal RNA is filed under the name uncultured bacterium. RNAcentral describes it as "partial 16S ribosomal RNA". It matches the Rfam family "Bacterial small subunit ribosomal RNA", at positions 29 to 507 of the family's 1533-position model. The record is from RNAcentral.